CAACUUGAGAGUUUGAUCCUGGCUCAGAACGAACGCUGGCGGCACGCCUAACACAUGCAAGUCGAGCGCUCACUUCGGUGGGAGCGGCGGACGGGUUAGUAACGCGUGGGAACAUACCCUUUACUACGGAAUAGCCUUUGGAAACGAAGAGUAAUACCGUAUACGCCCUACGGGGGAAAGAUUUAUCGGUAAAGGAUUGGCCCGCGUUAGAUUAGAUAGUUGGUGGGGUAACGGCCUACCAAGUCUACGAUCUAUAGCUGGUUUGAGAGGAUGAUCAGCAACACUGGGACUGAGACACGGCCCAGACUCCUACGGGAGGCAGCAGUGGGGAAUCUUAGACAAUGGGGGAAACCCUGAUCUAGCGAUGCCGCGUGUGUGACGAAGGCCUUAGGGUCGUAAAGCACUUUCGCCAGAGAUGAUAAUGACAGUAUCUGGUAAAGAAACCCCG
Molecule: non-coding RNA, 448 nt
Filed under: Nereida ignava
Lineage: Bacteria; Pseudomonadati; Pseudomonadota; Alphaproteobacteria; Rhodobacterales; Roseobacteraceae
Description: Bacterial small subunit ribosomal RNA
Rfam family: Bacterial small subunit ribosomal RNA
Source: Rfam by way of RNAcentral